CUGCUGGGAAGGGUGGUUAUGGGUAGUCUCAUCUCCAGUGUGUGGAGUCAGCAAGGCCUGGGGCACCAUUGGCCCCCACCCCCAGGAAACAGGCUGGCAGCUCGCUCCUGCUGCCCACAGGAGCCAGGCCUCCUCUCCUGGGAAGGCUGAGCACACACCUGGAAGGGCAGGCUGCCCUUCUGGUUCUGUAAAUGCUUGCUGGGAAGUUCUUCCUUGAGUUUAACUUUAACCCCUCCAGUUGCCUUAUCGACCAUUCCAAGCCAGUAUUGGUA
This 272-nucleotide long non-coding RNA is filed under the name Homo sapiens (human). RNAcentral describes it as "HSALNT0229838". Lineage: Eukaryota; Metazoa; Chordata; Mammalia; Primates; Hominidae. The record is from RNAcentral.